Molecule: small nucleolar RNA, 100 nt
Organism: Arachis stenosperma
Lineage: Eukaryota; Viridiplantae; Streptophyta; Magnoliopsida; Fabales; Fabaceae
Source: RefSeq, a predicted model, not a curated record
AUUCACGACGAUGAUGAAAAUGUGAUCCCAGCUCAUUACGAGGCCUUCACUAUUAUCAAGGCCUGGGAAUAGAAUUCUCCACAUUUCUCUGAGCCUCAAC